Molecule: ribosomal RNA, 253 nt
Filed under: uncultured bacterium
Lineage: Bacteria
Description: partial 16S ribosomal RNA
Rfam family: Bacterial small subunit ribosomal RNA
Source: RNAcentral
UACGUAGGGUGCAAGCGUUGUCCGGAAUUAUUGGGCGUAAAGAGCUCGUAGGCGGCUUGUCGCGUCUGCCGUGAAAACCCAGGGCUCAACCCUGGGCGUGCGGUGGGUACGGGCAGGCUAGAGUGCGGUAGGGGAGAUUGGAAUUCCUGGUGUAGCGGUGGAAUGCGCAGAUAUCAGGAGGAACACCGAUGGCGAAGGCAGAUCUCUGGGCCGCUACUGACGCUGAGGAGCGAAAGCAUGGGGAGCGAACGGG